Molecule: long non-coding RNA, 248 nt
Filed under: Homo sapiens (human)
Lineage: Eukaryota; Metazoa; Chordata; Mammalia; Primates; Hominidae
Description: non-protein coding lnc-GLIS3-2:6
Source: RNAcentral
AGUUCCAAGUUACUCACUGGAGCUGACAAGUCACCUCGGGGACCGGGAAGUCACUCAAGUGUCUGGAAAUCUUGGCCCUGGCUGAUUUGUCAUCCUAUGGAUGAUUCAAUUAGUCCCUUAUUUCGCGUGAGUCUUUGGCGUCCACGACCUUGAGUCUGACGGAAAGUCAGUCGGCCUCAAGCAUGAAGCAGGAGUGGUCCCAGGGCUACAGGGCCCUCCCUUCGCUCUCCAACCACGGCUCUCAGAAU